Molecule: long non-coding RNA, 1300 nt
Filed under: Medicago truncatula (barrel medic)
Lineage: Eukaryota; Viridiplantae; Streptophyta; Magnoliopsida; Fabales; Fabaceae
Description: lncRNA gene22307
Source: RNAcentral
CUUUGAUGUAAAUAAUUUACUUACUUUUCUUGUCAUUUAUUUUCUGCAGACCUUAGAAUGUAAAUAGGAUUUUUUGUAAUAGUUUAGGUGCAUGGGUGUGUGUGUGUGUGGGUGUAUGCUUUAUUUUAUGCUUCUAGCUUAGGUUACAAACGUUUUUAAUUUCCUUGCUCCGUUAGUUUCCAUUUUUAGUUUAGCUUUUAUUCAAAAACAACAAAAAAAACAUGCAAAUAACAAAAAUCACAAAAAAACUUUUUUACAAUAAACCUUGAUCUUAAAUCAAGUGACCGUCUUUUAUUUUAUUUUCUUAAAUCAAAAUUGCAAUCAACUUUAAUCAUACUUUAAGUCAUUUUCUUUUAAUAUAAAAAACACAAACAAAUUUAUUUUGCCAUUUGGCUUUUCAAUUUAAAAACUUUUUUCAAAACUAAUAAAAAACACAAAAACAAAUCAAACAUCAAUUUCUACCCCGAGGUUUUGAUCCCUCACGGGUACGUAGGUACGGGACAUUCGUCCUUCCAAACAAUAAAAAAUGUAGAUAAAUUAGGUCUCACUUUCUUUUAAUCGUCACAUUAACUUCUUUUUUCAAAAGCAAGCAAGUUUAUAGCACGAAAAUUAAAUAAAAACCAAGAGGUUCCCGUAGAGUACUACGGACAUAAAGGGUGUUAACACCUUCCCCUUCCCUUUAUGUAACUAACCCCCGAAUCCUAAAUCUUUUCAAAUAGGGGUAGUUUGAACUUUUUUCCCCUUUUCUUAAACAAAUAAAAAUGUUCAGUUGUGAAAUAAUAAAGUUGAGUCAAAAGCUAAUCAAAUAGCCUUCUCCGAAAAAUGAUGCGACAGAAAUGGCGACUUCACUGGGGACCUCCCUAAGAGGGUUGAGCCUAACUUGGCUUUGUUUAAUUCUUUGUGCUAUAACUUGCUUAAAAUAAACAAAAACAAAAAUAAAAGAUGGAAAUACGUGUAUAUAUGUCCUCCCUCUACUUUCUUCUUUCUAAACGUGAGUGGUGAGAUAAGUCCUACACCCGGGCUUGAGAGAAAUAUAAGAUAGGACGGGGUACAACCAUAGUGCCAUACCAGGAGCGGUCCUGUGCUAUGUGUGCAUGUGGUAUAAUCCCACUCAACGGAGGUCUCAAAGUAAUACGAUGUGACCAUGAGCAGUCGUGAUUGACGCUAUUAUUUUUGAAUGACCAUCGAAGUUGAGAAACCUUAGUAACCCUUAACCCAUCUUGGCCUUUUUAGGACGUAGUGCGGUGGCUAAACCAAGAGCAUUCUUGACUUUGGUCGACACGCGAUAUUACACUCAAAC